RNAcentral lists this long non-coding RNA (7287 nucleotides) under Gallus gallus (chicken). Its description in RNAcentral is "lncRNA (ENSGALG00010014174.1)". The record is from RNAcentral. Lineage: Eukaryota; Metazoa; Chordata; Aves; Galliformes; Phasianidae.
CUGGUCUCUCAGAAGCAGGGAGAGAGCACCAUACAUCUUGCAGCAUGUCCUUACCAGCUCGGAAAGCUUUGCCCUUGCAUUACUGCCAGUAAACUGUUCCUAACAUUUGUUACGCUUUAUAUUAAUGGAUGCUACAUUUUCCCAUUUCAUACCCUACCAAACAGCAUGAUGGGAUGACAGCAUCAAACAGGUAGUAGGCAGAAGUGAUGCAUGAAAACUACCCUUAGCUGGAGAGCCAUACUGUUUUUUCCGCUUUCUUACAGUGGCUGUUGGUUGUUCUUAAUCACCUGCCUCACGCAGGCAGGCACUGGCUGGGGAGCUAAGGGAAGGGCUGAGUCCAAAACACAUGGUAACUAAGCAGCAGGACUUGAGACGCUGUCUGGAAAAACAACAGAGACUCACCUCCUACUAUUUUUCUUCCAGGGAAGCAGCUCCCAUUGCGCCAUUUUCCUGGCAGAAGAAGUUAUGAUCUUCAGGAAAAAGCUUCUUUCAGAGUGGGUUAUGUUUUAAUUUGUUGUUGUUGCUGUUGUUUUCAAGCUGUGUAUGUGUGAGGAAAUGGCAUGGAGUGGAGGGGGGAAGUUGUCUCUGACAUCUGCAGGUUCAUCUUGGAAAGAGUGGAAGGAGGGAGGACUGAAGUACAUGGCCUGCAUCUGUUCCAAGAGGAACCCGAACAGAAGGAGGUUGUACUUGUUUUUCUGUUUGUACUUCUGGAGAUGAUGCCAUUAAUUAUGUGUUUACAACACUUCAGCUCUUCUUCCUAGCUUAGGCUCAAAGCUCAUAGUCCUGACUCAGCUCCAAAAAUCCACUGAGGUAGGUGGGACAGUCGUUCUGACACAAUAUUUAAUAUCAGGCCUAAAGGCUGGAUCUAGUCAAAGAAAAACAUCUACUCUAUGAAAGCAAAUGUAUCUUAUAAACAGUAGAAGCUGCUCCCCACUCACUGGAUGCUGAAGACAGAGGAUGGUUGUACUUCCUCAGCCAUCAUCAUCCAUAGCAUUUACUGUGGGGAUGACAGCUGUCUCCUGAUAAUGAUUUCCCUAGCACAGCAAUGUCCAGCCAGCAGCCAGAUUUCACCAAGAAUCUGUGAGGGACACCUUGAGAACUCACUGAGAAUUGCAGUUACUUCCUCUGAACCAGACUGACGUGUUAGUUUCACAAAAACAAGGUCACAUAUCCCACUGGUUUUAUGUUUUUGUUGUUCUCUUCUUUAUAUGUUUUAAUAGAAGAACAUUAAAAAUUAAAGUAAGUUUUGUCACUUAUAUACAUUAUCAAUAUUAUAAGAGCUGCUCCAAAAGUAAUACCUCCUGCUUUAUGGUGUCAGCUCAGGAUGUCAGAGGUGGGCAUUGGUGGUAUGGCAGAAGUUGAACCUUCCCACCACAAUUCCAUUACGUUUUGUUGCUGUGUGACAGAUGGCAGCAGAGGGACAGUCUGACACAAUGAAGUCUGACAUGGAAGUGCAUAUGAAGCAAAGGUGUGUAAUUGAAUUCCUUCAUGUGGAAAAAAUGGCACCCACUGACAUUCAUUGGCACUUGCUGGAGACUAAACCAUGGAUGUGAGCACAGUGAGGUGGUGGCUGGUACAUUUCAGCAGUGAUGACAGCAACAGUGAGUGACCUCAACUAGUGCAGAUUGUUACGAGCACAGCAUGCGGGCUUUUGUUCAUUUUGUUAAUUGUUUAUUUACAACUAAUGGUGGUGACUGCGUUGAAAAAGAGUGUUUUAUAGCUGAGAAUAUUCUCUGUUCAGUAGUGUUAUUGUGCUCUCUGUAUCUGAGGUAGUUUCCAUGGAAACAAUUAGGAGGCAUUACUUUCAGAGCAACCCUCAUAGAUGCAGCCCUACACAAUUCCUCUUCACUCAAUGCAGCCAGGCAAGCCAAAAGGUUGGACACCCAUUUCUUGGCACGAGCAGGAUAAAGGACAUCCUUUCUUCUGAAACUACUCCUUCUCUUAAAAGCUUGAUGAAAUAUUUCGUUCAAAUUUUAAGGUGACAAAAGCAGAUGAAUAAUUCUCAUUUAAUACUGUUUACUGUGGACUUCUUUUCACAUCCUAUGGUGAUUUCCCUUUUUUUUUUCCAUCAGUUUGAUUACAGCCAGUCAGCCAUAAUUCAAGCAUCCUGGCAUGCACCAGCUAGUGUCACAGCAGUGUCCUUGGGAGGCCAGGCUUUCAAAGGAUGCAGUGAGUGCUUCUGAAAAGAAGCAAAUUUAAUGUCUUAAAGCUACCUUGAGAAUCACAGAACAUUGUUUGUACACUCACACUGUGCCCUAGCAAAUGCUCUUCAUCUUGCAUGAAUGGAGAUAUGCUGUACCCAUAUAUGUAAGCCAGUUAAUUGCUUCUGGAGUUCGCUUUAAAAAAAUUACUUCUAAAUGACAGGAUUCACAUAAACAGAGCAAUCUGAUGCCUGAACCUGUGCUUCAAAAAGACACCUUAAAUUUCGGUGAUAAGGAGCUUGUAUGAAAGCUUGUAAUUGAAAGCUGGAGUGAAUUAGGCAUGUAUGCAGAUAUGUGUAUUAGAAUGUGCUACAGUGAGGGAUGCCCUGCCAACAGAUCCCUGUGCCUUUGUGCAGUUUUGGUAGAGAAUGAUGGAAAGUUGCACAGAAUCAGAGGUUGCCACAGCAGUAUCUUUGAAACCCUCUUUUAAUAUUCAUGAAAGAGUCAUAAAAAACUUUUUUGAAUGAUAGCAUAUUUAAUGACAGUCACUGAGUCAUAUGAAACCAAUCUUCUUUUUCAUAUAACAAACAAACUGAGACAUCUGUCCUAUAAAAUAACAGUAGGCUGUGUCUCAUGAAGACACUGUUUUGGAUUGAUAUGAAUCUAAAUGAACAAAAACUGAUACUCGGGUUUUCAGUUUUGUAAUUGAUUUCCUAUAGUUUAGUCCUCUGAUAUGUGAAUGCAUCCCUAUCUGUACAGUAGUGUUUCGUGUAAUAUUUGAAGCAGAUUUUCAAUACCUCACACAGAAAAUACCGACUCAGCUUCACUGUUAGUGUGAAAAGAACGAACAGUUUCUUUCUCACAGCCUGCUGACAUAACGGUCUUCCCUUGGAGUAUUUCAGUCCUUGCUCAUCUUGGGAUUAAUGGAACCAGUACUUACAGCUGCAGUGCCAGAGGCAGGACCCAUAUAUUUCUUUGACCAGAUGAAAGCUAGAAUGAAAGAGAGGGACAGGGAGAUAUCAGGAGAAGUGUCCUCGUAUUGCCACGCGCUCACUACAAAUCCUCAUCCCAUCAGCUGUACUCCCAGCCUGACUGAAGGCAGGAAUCCCUUCUGCGCAGGGGAGUAUACAGAAAGACAUGAAGAUGGUUUCUUAAAUGUUGAUACAAAAAAAGAGAAAGAUCCAGUUUUGCAUCAAAUAUCUCAUCAUUCCCUGUAUAAAACCACUACAGAGGACUCAAACCCAAAGGUCUCCCAACGUGCUCUGAUCCCACAGGCAGACAAGGACUCACUCACCACUUAACAUGUUGAAUAAGUCUGCAUCUGCAACUUGGGGAGAAGUGGCAGCUCCUGGCUAGGUAUCAGACUGGUUUUCCACUGGAACUUGUAACUGUGCUUACCUGCAGCUGGAGGGAACUCACUGUGAGGGCUGAUUUCUGUAAACAGCAGCAGAAGUUGCUAUCAUACAGAAGCAUGAGAUCCAGGAGAAGCCAGGCCUCAGAGGAGGUUAAGAAUAGUACUCUGGCAUCCAAAUGUAAGGAGCAUGAAAUCACUGCCAUCAGAAAAGAACAACACAAGAAAGGCUUUAUUCUAUCAUCCUGCACUACAAAGGGAGAAAUAAAUCCUGAGACAGCAUCAAACGCACCUUCAGAAAGUGAAGGUAAUACAGUGCUGCACAAAUGUGCUGUGUUGUAACGUUUGGCCAAAAAAAAGGAAAAAAGUGCUUUCUGUUAAGAAUACACCAUUGGCUGGAUAGGCCAAUGUGCUCCAGCUUAUAACUGGAUAUACUGCAGUUCUUUGCAAAGCACUGGUUUAGGACAUGAUGAAAUAGCUUUGCAGCUGAAGCAAGAGGUACAAACACUUGAGAAGAACAAAGCCGGUGAAACUGGGCAAUGUUUCAAGUCAUUUAGCAAAGCAUUUUUAGUCUCCUCUUUCAAGGUGAGUGAUAGAGUCAUAACACAUUGCACCAGUAGAGAAGAUUUGCAUCUAAAGCAUUUCAUUCUGCGAGUAUCAGUGAUUGCAAGUGCUGAACCUAGUGUUGGGAAGAAGCCUGUUACAGUUCUCCAGCUCCUGCUGUGCAAAAUGAUGCUGACCAGUCACCCAUCACAGUCAGCUUCUCACUUUCAUCCAACAUUUGUGAGGAACAAGGUUUGAUUUUCCAGCUUUCUAACCCAAAGUCUGAAGACGUUCAUCAGAAUCUGCCUUAUGUGUGGACCCUGGUGAGACCUGAGCAAGUUCAAAAACAAAUAAAAGAGCAAGCAUUUAACCUGAAAGAAGUUGGGUUUGACAAACCAAUUAUUCUACAGCAUUAUGGUGAUUACAGAGGAGAAACUUUCCCCAGGACAUGGAAGGUUCAGGCUGGCAGGACUGUCACAUCAAAGCUGCCAUAUGACAAACCUCAGAUUCCAGUGGUCAAGAGAGCAAACACAGCACAGAGAAAACUGCACUACAGACUGAAUGAUGGCUCAUCCUUCAUUUAAUAUCCUUUCUUAAGCUCACUUAAAUUCCUGUAAGUGUGUGAAAGGCAGGGGGAGGACUUCUACCGAAGGACAAUCACACAGCGUGUAGCUGAACCGCUUCCAAAAUCCAGCUACAUAUAAAAGAACAAGACUUUAUUCUUUGGGCUUCUUAUCAGACUCUAUUUAUAUGGUACCACAUCUAUAGUCGGUCUACAACAGCAAAGCCCAGUGUGCGUCAGGUGGGUUGAAAGGCAUAAAAAAAAAAAAAAAACCCAAAAAAAACUGCAGAAUGAACAAUGCAGUUUUAAAUUAACAGUAUCAGACUGCAAACUAUUUAAAGUAUGACCUUGUCGUGAACAAAGACCACUUUAUCAAUCACAAACAUAAUCACAAACAUCAAGAUGUAUUAGGAACUGUGCAAGUCUGCUCUGUUACAAGUCCACAGAAGACACCAUGCCUCAUAAACCUACUUCUGAGUCAUACAUUGCUCCUGCAAAGGACACUUUUGACCUGUACCAGCAUGAGUUUCCUGCUAUCUUUUAUUAGUUCAGUAACGUGAAUUUUGUGCUGAGAGCUUUGCCUGCUCAUCCUCUAUCACUCCCAAUCCACUUAUUCAAGGAAGAAGAUGACUGGGUUGGUAGCUUCGCUUUCUCUUAUGCACAUGGACUGAAUACCCUGUCUUAGAGCUGAUGAUGUUAGUCCCUGUGUUCUCUGCAUGGUUAAGUAACAGAAGCUACAGAGUUGGAGAGAGAAUGAUAACUUAACUCCUUGACUCUCAUUUUAGCUAUCCAUCUGAAUAUCUUGCGGUUUGCCAGAGCUGCUGCAAUCUCCCAUGUAGGGGGAUGUAUACCAACAUAUUUAGCCCUUCUCCAGAUCAUUCUAUAGGUGGAACUUUCACCUCUUUUGGACAUGGCAGCAUCUAUCUUCCUAACAGCAACACUGUAACCAUGAUGUUUAAUCAGGAAGGAGGUCUGGUGACUAAUGAAGAUGAAGAAAUGGUCAGAGAAUGGAAAUGGCCUCGGGAUGGCAAGCUGGCCCAGCCAGUUAUAGCACGGGUUAAUGAAUUCAUCACAGUGAGGAUUGCAGGACGCUUUGCAAUUAGCUUGGUCUACAAGUGGCAACAUGAAAGUAUGUGCUUGUCUUUGUCACGGCCGCGGGGUGCGGCUCUUCCGCGGUUAGAAGAAUCGGUAUGUUGCAACUGCUGCAGUACUGCACUUUAUCAACUUUGUUCUGCAGAUUCUGGAACUGAUGAGCUUUUCUAUAAAAUAUGCUUCCCGAUGUUAGCACUAAGAGCAGUGCUACAGAGUGAUCAAAUUAGGCCUUCCGGAGAGUGAAUAAAAAGCAGAUUUAUGCUGAUGACUACCUACUACAGAUCUGGCCCAAAGGGACACAGCUUUCCACGCGCUUAGAUUCCUAUUUAUGCUUCCUCCCCCCCCCCAGACUUAGCCCAGUACGAGGUGGUUAUACCUUUUUGUGCUGCAGAUGGUGUACUGAAUGAUGCCCUAAGAAAUCCUGAUCCAAAUCUUCCUUUCCUUCAUUUCUGUGCAGUGAGCUGGCUGUCUAUCUAGGUUUAUCAUCUAGCCAAAGCCUGAUAUCUUCAUGUCUUUCAGUUCAAUGUUGGGUUGAAAUACAUGUUGUUAGAACAGAUUUUUGUGUGUGUGUGAUUUUGGGGUCAGGAAAAAAUAGUUAUGAAACAAUUGUUGGAAAAGCAGAAGAAAUCUGUCAUCCAAGUAAAACAAAAAUAAAACAGAUCACGCUGGUUCAGAGUUAAUUUCCUUCUCCCUGUAAGUAUUUAGUCUAGAAAUUGUAGAAACAGACACUGUGGAUUUGUAAUAGGCAUGUAUAUACAUAUCAUUGAGUUUAAAAGAAAUUUAGAUUAACUCCUAAACUUCUGAGAAGUUAAAUUUGUCAGAGUUUUUAAAUGGCUUUUCAUAAAAGAAGUAUUUCACUAUAUGUAGCACAUAGGCUUAGGUGUUAGGAUGUGGCCCAUCGAGCAACUUCAAGUAGCAUCACCAUCAUUAGCUGAAAAACCUGACUUCUCACUCAGGCACAUUUCCACUGAUGUGGGAAAGGAAAUGUUCUAAAUGAGGGAAGAUAAAGGUAGUAAAUGAACAAAUUCAAACAAUUAACUAUUUUUCAUUUGUUUGGAAACAAAAAUCACUCAAUUUGUGUUUCAUAAGAUGGACUGCUGCUUUUUUAACAGUUUGUCAAUUCUUUGAUUAAAGAAGAUGAGAGACUCCUAAUAUAGCCUAUAAUACCUCUGUAAAACUGGGAUGAGAAUCAACAUCUUAUUCCCUCUAGCUCCAGAAAAGCCUGGGCCAUAACAAUAAUAGAGCUACCCUUGAGUUCUUGUAAGACUGCCAUCUGAAACACCACCAGAAAAAGGCUUCCUGAGAUUAAUGAUUCACUGGAUAUCUUUCCCUGGUGGAACUGGAAGGGUCACUGCUCUAAGGGACUAUAAGGAAAUGGGGAGAAGUGGAAUAGCAGGAGCCCUGGGCUCAUUCACAACCCUCAAUAGGUGUUCAGGAUUUAUUCAAGUACCAGUUCUGACUUCUUUACACCCAAAACAUUUCUUAACAGAUCACUGAGGUGGAAAAUUUGACCUUAAGAGGAUUUGACUUGAAAUAGCUGAUGUAGCAAAUUCCAUCUGAAGAAAUUUUAUAGAAGAGAUAUGGCAGAUAGGUACAGU